UACGAAGGGGGCUAGCGUUGUUCGGAUUUACUGGGCGUAAAGCGCACGUAGGCGGGUCGUUAAGUCGAGGGUGAAAUCCUGGAGCUCAACUCCAGAACUGCCUUCGAUACUGGCGACCUAGAGUCCGGAAGAGGUGAGUGGAACUCCUAGUGUAGAGGUGGAAUUCGUAGAUAUUAGGAAGAACACCAGUGGCGAAGGCGGCUCACUGGCCCGGUACUGACGCUCAUGUGCGAAAGCGUGGGGAGCAAACAGG
RNAcentral lists this ribosomal RNA (253 nucleotides) under uncultured bacterium. RNAcentral's name for it is "partial 16S ribosomal RNA". It matches the Rfam family "Bacterial small subunit ribosomal RNA", at positions 524 to 776 of the family's 1533-position model. The record is from RNAcentral.